This 185-nucleotide non-coding RNA is filed under the name Halobacteroides halobius. RNAcentral also lists the same sequence under 1 other name. The record is from RNAcentral. Lineage: Bacteria; Bacillati; Bacillota; Clostridia; Halanaerobiales; Halobacteroidaceae.
UUAAAUAUUAAAUAAUUAGGUGCCUUUAACUACGGUUAAGGGAGAAUAGGGAAUCAGGUGUAAAUCCUGAACGGGCCCGCCACUGUAACUAGCAGAUUGAGCUUAAGAUACCACUCAGCUUUUGGGGAAGGUAAAGCUUAAUGUAAGCUAGAAGUCAGGAGACCUGCCUAGUUAGCUAGCAACUA